GCCGGUGGUCAUGGUGGUGCUCAACACGUCAAAACCAUUCAAGUUGUCCAUGAACAAGCUGGUGCUGCUGCUGGUGGUUAUUCCGGUGGUUACUCCGCUGGCGGUCACGGUGCUGCUGAGGAAGUUAAAACCAUUCAAGUUGUCCACGAACAAGGUGCUAGCGCUGGUGGUUAUUCCGGUGGAUUCUCUGCUGGCGGCCAUGGCCACGGUGCUGCUGAAGAAGUAAAAACCAUUCAAGUUAUCCAUGAACAAGGUGGUGCUGCCGCUGGUGGAGCUCAAGGUGGUUAUUCAUAUGGAGGUGCCAGUUCCGGUGCUGCUCAAGAAGUUAAGACCAUUCAAGUUGUCCAUGAACAAGGUGGUGCUUCGGCUGGGGGAUACUCAUCCGGUGGUUACUCGGCCGGUGGUGCUAGCGCCGCUGCUGAACAAACUAUUAAAGUUAUUCACGAAGAGGCAUCUGCUGGAGGUUAUUCUGCUGGUGGUUAUGGCGGUUUUGCUGAUGCUGGCGCUUCUUCUGCUGCUGGCUCUGGUGGCUUCGACGAUGCACUUGAAACUUUGAAAUCCCUUAAAGUUAUCGGUGCUUUGGGUGCUGAUGGUGGUG
This is a long non-coding RNA of Musca vetustissima, 598 nucleotides long. RefSeq lists it as uncharacterized. The record is from RefSeq and is a predicted model, not a curated record. The transcript is spliced from 3 exons. NCBI's taxonomy places the organism in Eukaryota, Metazoa, Arthropoda, Insecta, Diptera, Muscidae.